RNAcentral lists this ribosomal RNA (645 nucleotides) under Lactarius dewevrei. RNAcentral's name for it is "eukaryotic LSU rRNA". It matches the Rfam family "Eukaryotic large subunit ribosomal RNA", at positions 37 to 656 of the family's 3401-position model. Lineage: Eukaryota; Fungi; Basidiomycota; Agaricomycetes; Russulales; Russulaceae. The record is from RNAcentral.
UGCAUAUCAAUAAGCGGAGGAAAAGAAACUAACAAGGAUUCCCCUAGUAACUGCGAGUGAAGCGGGAAGAGCUCAAAUUUAAAAUCUGGUGGUCCUUGGCCGUCCGAGUUGUAAUUUAGAGAAGCGUCUUCCGCGUCAGACCGUGCACAAGUCUCCUGGAAUGGAGCGUCAUAGAGGGUGAGAAUCCCGUCUUUGGCACGGACACCUGGUGCUUCUGUGAUGCGCUCUCGAAGAGUCGAGUUGUUUGGGAAUGCAGCUCAAAAUGGGUGGUGAACUCCAUCUAAAGCUAAAUAUUGGCGAGAGACCGAUAGCGAACAAGUACCGUGAGGGAAAGAUGAAAAGCACUUUGGAAAGAGAGUGAAACAGUACGUGAAAUUGUUGAAAGGGAAACGCUUGAAGUCAGUCGCGUCGACCGAGACUCAGCCUUGCCUUGGCUUGGUGUACUUCUCGGGCUGACGGGUCAGCAUCGAUUUUGUCCCUCAGAUAAUGGCAAGGGAAAGGUGGCACCUUUGCGGGUGUGUUAUAGUCUCCUGUCGAAUGUGAGGGGUGGGAUCGAGGAACUCAGCACGCGCCUCUGGUGUCGGGGCUUCGGCUCACGAAACGUGCUUAGGAUGCUGGCGUAAUGGCUUUAAACGACCCGUCUGA